This is a long non-coding RNA of Columba livia (rock pigeon), 1350 nucleotides long. RefSeq lists it as uncharacterized. NCBI's taxonomy places the organism in Eukaryota, Metazoa, Chordata, Aves, Columbiformes, Columbidae. The record is from RefSeq and is a predicted model, not a curated record. The transcript has 4 exons.
CUUUCCAGUCUUCGGCGAAGCUUUUGAAAAGAUCUUUUUGGCUUCCAGGAUCAGCUGGGUCUGUGGGAGGUGGCGCAUCCUGCACUUGGCUGGCCAGCACCCCACUUGCCUUUAAGAAAAGAUGAGACAACAUCAUCAUUUUGCACCUGUGUGCAUAUUCCCCAGUUUCCACAUUAUUUUUCCUCUUUGUGCUGCACCCCAAGAAUUUCCUGGAUGGUUUUUACUGCAGUCAGCUCACUGCUUGGAGGCAACAUUGUUGUGCCAAGUGAAAACUGGCCUGUCCGUCUCAUUUUGGAUCCUGGGUGAGAGUUGUACUGCGAGCAAUCAAUUGAUUAGCUAGCUGCAGCAAAAAAAGAAUCGCAAGAUGUCUGGCUAAUGUACAACGUGUAAUAUGAAAAGAAAAGGCAGCCUUCUGAAGUAUUGUGCCUUGUACUGUUUCUGCUACUCUUGACCGAAGGGAUGGAGCAGUGAGUCACCUACCAGACGUUAUUAGAGCUGAGACAACAAGAAACCAGAUGAAACCUCUAAACUGUGUCUGCUUUCCAGACCAUGGAAAUACAGCAUAUUGCAUUUGCUUUGACGUCGGCAAACUGCAAAGCCUGGAUUAUGAUCUAAAGGAGUAUUAGAGCCUGAUCCAACUACUUCAGAGGCCUGCCCUAGAUUUUGGUGAUCAGCGUAUCAGAGCCACACUUAAAGGGAUCAAGAUGCUGCCAGUGCUUAUUGAAGAUACAGUUUUCCUAAAAGCCCAGGUCAGUGUUCUAGUAUUGACACAUCCAGAGCAUGUGAUACAACAGUGCAUGUUAUAGAGUGUAUCUCACCACACUCAAGCUUAGCAAAACUCUGAUGGUUCACAGUGGCUCCAGUAGCCUUUACUUUAUUUAUGCUUCCAUAAUCCAAAUGCUUAGCAGUGUAAAUAUUUCCUCUGCGGGGCUAUACACAGAGAGAUGUAUUUACUUAUAUAAUGUGUGAGGCUAUGCCAUGCAGAAACGCAAAAUUUUGCUGGUGUCUGGGAUGAGGGGGUUACCUGCUGCAGCAACAUGGAGGCCUUAGCAGGUCGUGGUGGCCCUGUCCCCAAGGUCCAUGCCCAGGGCUCUCCAGACCAAGCCUUUCUUUGGAGAGGGCAGCAGCACUUCUGCAGCUUGUACAUACUAGGCUUUUUUAAAUAAUAAAGGAAGAAAACAGCAUGCUAGCCUGGAGGAUUUUAUGUACAAAAAAACCCCAUGGCAUUUCUUUUUCCCCACAUGGUUUGCAAUUUAUCUCAGGACUAGAGAAAUUAUGUUGUCUUGUUUUGUUUGAUAUGAUGAUAGUCAUGUUACCAUGUGUUAUGUGGCCAUUCCACCCAAGCACCUU